RNAcentral lists this long non-coding RNA (216 nucleotides) under Lathyrus oleraceus (garden pea). Its description in RNAcentral is "Pisum sativum (pea) long non-coding RNA (PSAT_LNC011899)". The record is from RNAcentral. Lineage: Eukaryota; Viridiplantae; Streptophyta; Magnoliopsida; Fabales; Fabaceae.
GAAGGUUGCAAAGAAGAUUGUAGAAGAGGCAAUGUUGAUCAGUGGGGGUGUAUGGUAGAGGUCUCCGACAAUGAAGGCAGAACCGGUCUGGGUUUUCAGCGAGGCUCAUCAACUGCAAGGUCUGAAGAUAUGCAACUUAGUUGAUCGGAGGGUUCAUUCAUGGCAAUGAACAACACUUAGUUGUUGUGCUAGAGGAUGACGAAGAGGAAGACUGCA